This is a non-coding RNA of Melopsittacus undulatus (budgerigar), 489 nucleotides long. Lineage: Eukaryota; Metazoa; Chordata; Aves; Psittaciformes; Psittaculidae. The record is from the annotation of a RefSeq genome assembly.
AUGAUCCUCGGAAUCAAGUCUGGCUCCAGGGGCAUAUUAACCAUCACUGGGGUCCAAGCCGAGGAUGUGGCCAUCUACGACUGUGGGAGCUACGACAGCAGCAUUGCUGCAGACGUGGUGAAAUGGAGCAAUAGGCAAGUGAUACUAAAACCUUCCUGCAUUGCAGAGGCAAGUUCCCUGGUCCAGGCAGCGCUGACUCAGCCCCCAUCGCUCUCAGUGGAUCCAGGAAAGGACGCUCAGAUCACCUGCUCUGGUGGUGACAGCUACUAUGGCUGCUACGGCUAUGGCUGGUACCAGCAGAAGGUGCCUGGCAGUGCCCCUAUCACUGUGAUCUACGAUAACAACAAGAGACCCUCGGGCAUCCCUUCGCGAUUCUCCGGAUCCAGCUCCGGCUCCACGGGCACGUUAACCAUCACUGGGGUCCAACCCGAGGAUGAGGCCGUCUAUUACUGUGGUGGCUGGGAUAGCAUCAGCAGUUAUGGUGUCUGA